UAGUAAAUGGCAGUCCUGCCUUUGGAGGC
RNAcentral lists this small RNA (29 nucleotides) under Bombyx mori (domestic silkworm). RNAcentral's name for it is "ovarian small RNA-22835". The record is from RNAcentral. Lineage: Eukaryota; Metazoa; Arthropoda; Insecta; Lepidoptera; Bombycidae.